Molecule: ribosomal RNA, 451 nt
Filed under: uncultured bacterium
Lineage: Bacteria
Description: bacterial SSU rRNA
Rfam family: Bacterial small subunit ribosomal RNA
Source: RNAcentral
GCUGCCCACAUGCAGUCGAACGGGGUCCCAUCCGGUGGCAACACUGNGAGAAGACUCAGUGGCGAACGGGUGCGGAACACGUGAGCAACCUGCCCCGAAGAUCGGGAUAACGGCGGGAAACUGCCGCUAAUACCGAAUGCCCCCACGAGCCCGCAUGGGUUUGUGAGGAAAGGAUUCUGCUUCGGGAGGGGCUCGCGGCCUAUCAGCUUGUUGGUGGGGUAACGGCCUACCAAGGCGACGACGGGUAGCUGGUCUGAGAGGACGAUCAGCCACACUGGGACUGAGACACGGCCCAGACUCCUACGGGAGGCAGCAGUGGGGAAUCUUGCGCAAUGGGCGAAAGCCUGACGCAGCAACGCCGCGUGGGGGAUGAAUGCCUUCGGGUUGUAAACCCCUUUCAGUGGGAACGAAAUUGACGGUACCCACAGAAGAAGCCCCGGCCAACUACGUG